GUGCUCACUUCAGCAGCUCAUAUAUUGAAAGUGGAACAAUACAGAGAAGAUUGGCAUGGCCCCUGUGCAAGGAUGACUCACAAAUUUGUGAAGCAUUCCAUAUUUUG
This is a small nuclear RNA of Eptesicus fuscus (big brown bat), 107 nucleotides long. Lineage: Eukaryota; Metazoa; Chordata; Mammalia; Chiroptera; Vespertilionidae. The record is from RefSeq and is a predicted model, not a curated record.